RNAcentral lists this ribosomal RNA (1249 nucleotides) under 'Camptotheca acuminata' witches'-broom phytoplasma. RNAcentral describes it as "bacterial SSU rRNA". It matches the Rfam family "Bacterial small subunit ribosomal RNA", at positions 153 to 1399 of the family's 1533-position model. Lineage: Bacteria; Bacillati; Mycoplasmatota; Mollicutes; Acholeplasmatales; Acholeplasmataceae. The record is from RNAcentral.
GAAACGACUGCUAAGACUGGAUAGGAAAUAGAAGGAUAACCUUUUAUUUUUAAAAGACCUUCUUCGGAAGGUAUGCUUAAAGAAGGGCUUGCGCCACAUUAGUUAGUUGGUAGGGUAAAAGCCUACCAAGACUAUGAUGUGUAGCUGGACUGAGAGGUUGAACAGCCACAUUGGGACUGAGACACGGCCCAAACCCCUACGGGAGGCAGCAGUAGGGAAUUUUCGGCAAUGGAGGAAACUCUGACCGAGCAACGCCGCGUGAACGAAGAAGUAUUUAGGUAUGUAAAGUUCUUUUAUUGAAGAAGAAAAAAUAGUGGAAAAACUAUCUUGACGCUAUUCAAUGAAUAAGCCCCGGCUAACUAUGUGCCAGCAGCCGCGGUAAGACAUAGGGGGCGAGCGUUAUCCGGAAUUAUUGGGCGUAAAGGGUGCGUAGGCGGUUAGAUAAGUCUAUAAUUUAAUUUCAGUGCUUAACGCUGUUCUGUUAUAGAAACUGUCUAGCUAGAGUGAGAUAGAGGCAAGUGGAAUUCCAUGUGUAGCGGUAAAAUGUGUAAAUAUAUGGAGGAACACCAGAAGCGUAGGCGGCUUGCUGGGUCUUUACUGACGCUGAGGCACGAAAGCGUGGGUAGCAAACAGGAUUAGAUACCCUGGUAGUCCACGCCGUAAACGAUGAGUACUAAGUGUCGGGGUUAAACUCGGUACUGAAGUUAACACAUUAAGUACUCCGCCUGAGUAGUACGUACGCAAGUAUGAAACUUAAAGGAAUUGACGGGACUCCGCACAAGCGGUGGAUCAUGUUGUUUAAUUCGAAGAUACACGAAAAACCUUACCAGGUCUUGACAUACUCUGCAAAGCUAUAGAAAUAUAGUGGAGGUUAUCAGGGAUACAGGUGGUGCAUGGUUGUCGUCAGCUCGUGUCGUGAGAUGUUAGGUUAAGUCCUAAAACGAGCGCAACCCUUGUCGUUAAUUGCCAGCACGUUAUGGUGGGGACUUUAGCGAGACUGCCAAUUAAAAAUUGGAGGAAGGUGAGGAUUACGUCAAAUCAUCAUGCCCCUUAUGAUCUGGGCUACAAACGUGAUACAAUGGCUGUUACAAAGAGUAGCUGAAAUGCGAGUUUUUAGCCAAUCUCAAAAAAGCAGUCUCAGUUCGGAUUGAAGUCUGCAACUCGACUUCAUGAAGUUGGAAUCGCUAGUAAUCGCGAAUCGGCAUGUCGCGGUGAAUACGUUCGCGGGGUUUGUACACACCGCCCGUCA